CCGAAUGGUCAUGAGGCCUUCAACCUUCAAACCUGUGGAAGCAAAAAUGUGCUUCGGCGCUCUGGCGCCGCAUUUAUGCAGAAUAGUUUGUGUCUGAAUCAAUAAAAAUUUUA
This 113-nucleotide unclassified non-coding RNA is filed under the name uncultured Ascomycota. RNAcentral describes it as "sequence contains ITS1". The record is from RNAcentral. Lineage: Eukaryota; Fungi; Ascomycota.